Molecule: ribosomal RNA, 497 nt
Filed under: uncultured bacterium
Lineage: Bacteria
Description: bacterial SSU rRNA
Rfam family: Bacterial small subunit ribosomal RNA
Source: RNAcentral
ACUCAAAGGAAUAGACGGGGGCCCGCACAAGCAGCGGAGCAUGUGGUUUAAUUCGACGCAACGCGAAGAACCUUACCUGGGCUUGACAUGUUCCUGACCACCGUGGAAACACGGUUUCCCUUCGGGGCAGGAUCACAGGUGGUGCAUGGCUGUCGUCAGCUCGUGUCGUGAGAUGUUGGGUUAAGUCCCGCAACGAGCGCAACCCCCGUCGCAUGUUGCCAGCAUUUAGUUGGGGACUCAUGCGAGACUGCCGGUGACAAACCGGAGGAAGGUGGGGAUGACGUCAAGUCAUCAUGCCCCUUAUGUCCAGGGCUACACACGUGCUACAUUGGCGCGUACAGAGGGUUGCGAUACCGUGAGGUGGAGCGGAUCCCUUAAAGCGCGUCUCGGUUCGGAUUGCAGGCGAGUUUCAGCCUGCAUGAAGGCGGAGUUGCUAGUAAUCGCGGAUCAGCAUUGCCGCGGUGAAUACGUUCCCGGGCCUUGUACACACCGCCCGU